CUUGAGGGAUUUGAUUGGUUGGUUCAGGACAUGAUGAUACCUUAGGAUCUAGUCAACAUUAAGCAAUAGAGUUAGGUUUUUUUUAUUGGCCCUCUCAGAGAACUGAUUAAGGUCCAUUUGUACUGUUUUAUUAACUAUCUUAUUGUUGUGGAAUUUAGUCAAGCUGUGAAUUCGACAAAAAAAUAAAAAAGUCAAGCUGUGAAACUUUUUGGGUCAAUAGUAUUAUUAAAACUUUCAAUGGGAAGUUUGGGUCAAUAUUAGUGACUAAUCAGCCAUAAAAGCAAAUUAAAUAAUAAAUAUUUUUUUGAUUUUACUACUAAUUUGCAACGAAAUAACGACCAAAUGCUCUUUUUUGAGGUGAUCAAAUAAUAACGAAAUAGCGAUCAAAUUAGCGAUCAUUUCGCGAUCAAAAUUUAGCGAUCAAAAAAUGGUCGCUGAUUGGUCACUAUUUAGUAAUACUUAAUUUGCCAUGACACCAAAUUAGCGACCAAAAAAUGGUCGCUGAUUGAUCGUUAUUUUGUAAUACUUAAUUUGCCAUGACACCAAAUUAGCGACCAAAAAAUGGUCGCUGAUUGGUCGCUAUUUUGUAAUAUUUAAUUUGCCAUGACACCAAAUUAGCGACCAAAAAAUGGUCGCUGAUUGUCGCUAUUUUAGCGACCAAUUUUCAGAUUGUCGCCAAAAAUUUAGCGACUGGCCAAACACCGACCAUUUCAUUUUGGUCGCUAAAUGGUCGCUAUUUC
Molecule: long non-coding RNA, 740 nt
Filed under: Manihot esculenta (cassava)
Lineage: Eukaryota; Viridiplantae; Streptophyta; Magnoliopsida; Malpighiales; Euphorbiaceae
Description: long non-coding RNA (MESC_LNC007431)
Source: RNAcentral